AUUGAACGCUGGCGGCAGGCUUAACACAUGCAAGUCGAGCGGGGGAAGGUAGCUUGCUACCGGACCUAGCGGCGGACGGGUGAGUAAUGCUUAGGAAUCUGCCUAUUAGUGGGGGACAACAUCUCGAAAGGGAUGCUAAUACCGCAUACGUCCUACGGGAGAAAGCAGGGGAUCUUCGGACCUUGCGCUAAUAGAUGAGCCUAAGUCGGAUUAGCUAGUUGGUGGGGUAAAGGCCUACCAAGGCGACGAUCUGUAGCGGGUCUGAGAGGAUGAUCCGCCACACUGGGACUGAGACACGGCCCAGACUCCUACGGGAGGCAGCAGUGGGGAAUAUUGGACAAUGGGGGGAACCCUGAUCCAGCCAUGCCGCGUGUGUGAAGAAGGCCUUAUGGUUGUAAAGCACUUUAAGCGAGGAGGAGGCUACUUUAGUUAAUACCUAGAGAUAGUGGACGUUACCCGCAGAAUAAGCACCGGCUAACUCUGUG
This 485-nucleotide ribosomal RNA is filed under the name uncultured bacterium. RNAcentral's name for it is "partial 16S ribosomal RNA". It matches the Rfam family "Bacterial small subunit ribosomal RNA", at positions 30 to 507 of the family's 1533-position model. The record is from RNAcentral.